This 222-nucleotide unclassified non-coding RNA is filed under the name plant metagenome. Its description in RNAcentral is "partial contains small subunit ribosomal RNA, internal transcribed spacer 1, and 5.8S ribosomal RNA". The stretch from base 1 to 53 matches the Rfam family "Eukaryotic small subunit ribosomal RNA", at positions 1778 to 1831 of the family's 1831-position model. The record is from RNAcentral.
GGAAGUAAAGUCGUAACAAGGUCUCCGUUGGUGAACCAGCGGAGGGAUCAUUAUCGAGUCUAUAACUCCCAAACCCUAUGUGAACUUACCACUUGUUGCUUCGGCGCGCGCUUCGGCGCCGCCGAGGACACUUAAACUCUUUGUUUUUAUAAGCAUUUCUGAGUGGCCGAAAGGCAAAAUACAAAUGAAUCAAAACUUUCAACAACGGAUCUCUUGGUUCUG